AGGCAUUUAAAGAAAGAGAUCCUUCAUGCUUGUCUUAUUGCUCGGCUCUUUUAUACCUAAAGCGCAUGCAUUGUGGAACCAAGGACGCAAGGUGUUGGCUCUUGCACUACAAAGUCGAGUUAGCGAGGUAUUUGGAGUCGAUAUACAUCCAGGUAUUGUUUCAAAAAUGAUUUCCUAACAUAAAUACUAUAUUUUUAUUGGAUUUUACCAAUAACUGUUUCUCUUUUGUGUUCACG
Molecule: long non-coding RNA, 236 nt
Organism: Helianthus annuus (common sunflower)
Lineage: Eukaryota; Viridiplantae; Streptophyta; Magnoliopsida; Asterales; Asteraceae
Exons: 3
Source: RefSeq, a predicted model, not a curated record